This 650-nucleotide ribosomal RNA is filed under the name uncultured bacterium. RNAcentral describes it as "bacterial SSU rRNA". It matches the Rfam family "Bacterial small subunit ribosomal RNA", at positions 57 to 704 of the family's 1533-position model. The record is from RNAcentral.
GCAAGUCGAACGGUAACAGGAAGUGCUUGCACUUCGCUGACGAGUGGCGGACGGGUGAGUAAUGCUUGGGAACUUGCCUUUGCGAGGGGGAUAACAGUUGGAAACGACUGCUAAUACCGCAUAAUGUCUACGGACCAAACGGGGCUUCGGCUCCGGCGCAAAGAGAGGCCCAAGUGAGAUUAGCUAGUUGGUAAGGUAAAGGCUUACCAAGGCAACGAUCUCUAGCUGUUCUGAGAGGAAGAUCAGCCACACUGGAACUGAGACACGGUCCAGACUCCUACGGGAGGCAGCAGUGGGGAAUAUUGCACAAUGGGGGAAACCCUGAUGCAGCCAUGCCGCGUGUGUGAAGAAGGCCUUCGGGUUGUAAAGCACUUUCAGUUGUGAGGAAAAGUUAGUAGUUAAUACCUGCUAGCCGUGACGUUAACAACAGAAGAAGCACCGGCUAACUCCGUGCCAGCAGCCGCGGUAAUACGGAGGGUGCGAGCGUUAAUCGGAAUUACUGGGCGUAAAGCGUACGCAGGCGGUUUGUUAAGCGAGAUGUGAAAGCCCCGGGCUCAACCUGGGAACUGCAUUUCGAACUGGCAAACUAGAGUGUGAUAGAGGGUGGUAGAAUUUCAGGUGUAGCGGUGAAAUGCGUAGAGAUCUGAAGG